Molecule: non-coding RNA, 92 nt
Organism: Aspergillus bertholletiae
Lineage: Eukaryota; Fungi; Ascomycota; Eurotiomycetes; Eurotiales; Aspergillaceae
Source: the annotation of a GenBank genome assembly
GCCCGGAUGGUCUAGUGGUAUGAUUCGCGCUUAGGGAUAUAACCCAAAGCAUCAAUUGCGCGAGGUCCCCGGUUCGAUCCCGGGUUCGGGCC